RNAcentral lists this long non-coding RNA (1440 nucleotides) under Marmota monax (woodchuck). The record is from RNAcentral. Lineage: Eukaryota; Metazoa; Chordata; Mammalia; Rodentia; Sciuridae.
GUAUUAUUCAUGUAUUCGUAGCAAUAUUAUUAGUAUAUAAUUUUUUUUCCUGGAAGAGUAUAUCAUAAGAAACUCAAUAACUGGGGACAACUGACCCAAAUUCUCUAACAUAAAAUGCAUUUUAACUUUGGGGAAAUUCAUAAAAUAUUAAUAUUUGAGAGGAGUCAGUUGAGUAUGAGACCUUUGUGUUCAAGUUAUCUUUCAUUAAACUCCUGGACAUUGCAUCUUGUGCAGUAGCGCCAUCUGCUUUCAUGAACACAGAAUUGCUAUGAGAGGGGGCUGGUUUAUGUUCACAGGCCGCCCAUGCACUACAGAUGAAAAUGUCUUUUCAAAUGAAAAGUUUACAUUAGGCCACAUCAUCUUUACUUAGUAAUUUUAAAUUUGUACGCUAGUUGAUAGUAUUUUAAAACAAACCCUGUAAGUGUUAUAACACGAAAUUGAUUGUCAAAUAUAACUUGAAGUAGCAGGAAAGCCUCGUCAUUAGUGAUAUAACAUCAAUAGUAACUAAUAAGACACUUGACUUUAAUUUUUUAUCACAAAAAAAACAAAAUUAUUUUUUAUUCAGUGAGUUAGUAUUGAUUUUUUAUUUUGGUCUCAAAUGACAAGGCUUUCUGAUUUUUUUUUUUUUUAUUGUGAAAUGCGUAUCUCUUCUGACAUCUGACAAACAGCAUACAAAAGUCCUUUUAUUUACCAGUAAUAUGUUUGUAAAAAGUUGUUAAGUGCAAAUGAAUGUGUUUCCUCCCUUUUUACAUGUCAACGUCGUAAACCAACCGGUAGUCUUGAUUCGCCCCCAAACUUGGGUAUGUGUCUUUAUUUACUUCAUGGCUGGGGCUUAAAAAUACUUUUGUAGGCUGAGUGUGUGUGCAGAGCAUCCUGGCAUUGGUACAAUACUUCUAAACAAACCUGUGUGUGUAACUUAAGAGACUGAACUUAAAACAACACAAUGCAUGUUAUUGAUGUGUGUAUUCUGCCUCCUACAGUGACGGGCCAUACUCAGGACACACGAUUGCAGACAUUGAUACGAGGACUUUGAGUACAAAGCAACCAAUGUCUGUUGUUUUCAGACAACAUAUUGCUAAGCUGUUAUAAGGCCAAAAAUGUGAAUCUCCCUUGAGUCUUUCAAAUUCUAAUUCAAACGUUACUCUUACCACCAGGAAGACAGUCCCCACACUGAGAGAUAAAAGCUGUGCUGGCUUAUUUCCACAUGCAGUCAGGCAGACCCGCUUACUCUUCUCUGCCCUGUCACUUAGUCCUGAGGUGAUUUUCAGAGAAGCCCAGAGAUAAUGCUGUGCUCUCUAAUCUUUCCCCUUCUUCCCUCUGAUUUCUGCACUACUGUUUUAAUAAGCACACUGGCCAUUUGGACAGCUUCUGUAGCAACACAUUUAUUAGGAGAUGGUCGUAUUUCCAAAUUUAAAGCCAUAAACACUACAAACUUUAGAC